RNAcentral lists this long non-coding RNA (1386 nucleotides) under Citrus x clementina. RNAcentral's name for it is "Citrus clementina (C. clementina) long non-coding RNA (CCLE_LNC002579)". The record is from RNAcentral. Lineage: Eukaryota; Viridiplantae; Streptophyta; Magnoliopsida; Sapindales; Rutaceae.
AUGCGAAAAGGGUAUAAUAGUAAAAUUAUAAUAAACGAGGGUGUAAAUGUCUUUUUUGAAACGUUAAGGGGGUUUUUGUCCCUUUGCUUAAACGUUGGGGGUGUGUUUGUCCUUUUUUUUAUUUAAUUUAUAAUAAAUGUAAAUAAAGGAGUAGUUGAAAAUAAGGGUACUAUUGUAAACUUAUGCUGUCAUGAAGUUUUUAGCCAUUAUAAAAAUAACAGGGAGAUAAAUAGUAUAUGUUAAUUACUAUAGGGGGAAAGUGGCAAUCUCCCAACUCCAAUAAUUACAACUUUUGGCGUGCAUCAUUUGGAUUGAGCUAGGCAAUAAUGGUUUAUCAAAAGGAAAUCACGGCCCUACACUUUGGGCAUUCUGCAAGUGCUAGAUUUCAUGGAGCUUUUGGUAGUUGUUUGGAGUUGCUUUGGGCCUAUGUUUCAGCAAUAGUUGUGUUAUACAGGACAGGCCCGGGCAUUUUUCACAAAGAGCACUGCUUUUCAUACCUCAUUUUUGUAAUAUAGUUGUAUAACUAGAGAAAAUUACAUUAAAGGAUUAUUAUUAGUGAAAUUAAACUCUCUUAUAAUGAAAUCCAAUAAUGAUUCAUCAGUUGGCUCUUCCCAGACACAUUUAAAUGGAAGUAUAGUUUUUGACUUUACCAAAUUGAAAAAACAAGCCACUUGCCAACUGAAUUCAUUUGGCUAAACUUGGAGUUAGCUCAAGAAGAGGUCAAUGAGCCAUUGAUAGACUACAAGGAUUCAUUACUGGUGAUGGAAGAGCAAUGUUGAAGCCAUCAGGCUCAUUCGAGGAGCUUGUUUGAACCAUGGAUCCUUCCAAGUGAUCAACCAUGGUAUUGAUGCAAGUAUUAGUUUAUGAAGAAAUUGACUCCAUUUUCAAUAUUCCUCUUAGAACAAAAUUUCAUCAUUACAAGUAAUGACAGACCCAAGCAGUGACUACAAGGGGAUAGAGUCCUUCGAAUUAAAAGUUCUUCUUAAAUUCAAUUACUCAUUCAUCCAUGUAAUUAAUCUUAAUAUUAAUUAUAUUCAUUUAUGCCCCUAGUAAUUUCUUUAAAGAAGUCCCAAGUUAAACUCUGUCCUAUUAUGAAAGUACAAAAUAUCUACUUUCUUUAAAUCAUUACAAGAGUUGGCGACUAUGCAUUUAACUAAAUUAACGUUUACUUUUUGGAUUGGAGUGGGAAUCCUGAGAAGUGGGAAUCCUAGAAUUGGGAGUAUGUAGUGGGAGUGAGAGUAUGUUGUUUACUUACACUGAAAUGGAAGCAUGGAAUGGAGAUUAGAAUUCAAUUUAUGUGUUUACUUUUUCUUGGAUUUGGAGUAAAUAGUUUCAAAUUACAAUUUUAUCCUUAUUUAAAGAAUUAUAGUUUUUAAUUACAAAGUU